AACACUAGUUCACUUGAUGCAACCUCUAUGUACCCAUCCGGGCUUGCUGUUCUUUCGUGAUCCAUUCUCCAAACCAAACGACCUCCUUGAAAGCAAUUUAAUUGGAUGCGACAAGUUACUACUGACUGGUGGCCAACACAAUCCCAAACAUCAAGUCAAAGAGUAGAAAUGAGGAGAGGAAAUCCAGGUCGCGACGAACAACUGAAAAACAAAAGGAAAUGAAGAACUGCCUCAAUUCUUCGUGGCAUAGAUUCAACAAGGUGCUGGAAGCAUUCCUCAGAGUGUUUGGUCCAUAUUGAGAUGAUGGCAUCACACAGUUGGUGCAGAUUUGUCGGCUGCAGAUCCAUGAUGUGAAGCUCCCGUUCCACCACAUCCCAAAGAUGCUCUAUUGGAUUGAGAUCUGGUGACUGUGGAGGCUAUUUGAGUACAGUGAACUCAUUGUCAUGUUCAAGAAACCAGUCUGAGAUGAUUCCAGCUUUAUGACAUGGCGCAUUAUCCUGCUGAAAGUAGCCAUCAGAAGUUGGGUACAUUGUGGUCAUAAAGGAAUGGACAUGGUCAGCAACAAUUCCUCAGAGUCCUGCAAACAUCACUGUAGAAGAUCUUCACCCUGAGAAGCACAAUCCCGUCCACGUUAAACAGAAGGAGGAGUCCGAUAUGCCGUUGAUCAAACAGGAGGCGGAGCCAGAGACCUCUGACAUCAAAGAAGAAAAACAGGAAAUUGAAAUCAAGUGUCCAAUGGGUAGUGGUGUGAAGAGCGAAGAAGACGAAGGACCAAGCGAAGAGAGCAGAGCAGCGAACCCUUUGAGCGACAGCUCAUUUCAGCACCAGACAACAAAAGGAGAGCAACCGGACGCCCUCUCAGCUCCGCUUUCGGACAGCGAUGACAUAAUGUCACAUUCUUCUGACUUUAAUACUGAUGAGAAGGAGGAUGACUUUGACCAAAAUGCUUCAAAAUCCUUAGACAAGUCAUCGUUUAAAAGAGACGCAAAAGAAGGCGCAGUUGGGAAACCUUUCACCUGCACACUUUGUGGUAAAAGAUUUUCUCGGAAAUCUAAUUUAGAAAGACAUAAGCCCACACAUACUGGAGAGAAGCCUUUUGUGUGCACGUGUUGUGGUAAACGAUUCACUCAGAAGGGAACUUUAGUAUCGCACACAAGAUACCACACUGGAGAGAAGCCUUUUGCCUGCACACUUUGUGGUAAAAGAUUCAUCGCGAAGGGCUGUUUAAAGAAACACACAAGAACACACACUGAAGAGAAGCCUUAUGCCUGCACAUUUUGUGGUAAAAGAUUCACUCAUAAGGGAGAUUUAAACAAACACACAAGCAAACACACCGGAGAGAAGCCUUAUGCCUGCACACUUUGUGAUAAAAAAUACUCCACGAAGGCAAAAUUAAACAUUCACACAAGAACACAUACUGGAGAGAAGCCUUUUGCCUGCACACUUUGUGAUAAAAGAUUCUCCGCGAAGGAAAGAUUAAACAUUCACGCAAGAACACACACUGGAGAGAAGCCUUAUGCCUGCACUUUUUGUGAUACAAAAUACGCCAAAAAGGAAUGUAUAAACAUUCACAUGAGAACACACACUGGAGAAAAGCCUUUUGCAUGCUCACUUUGUGGUAAACGAUUCGCUCAGAAAGGAAAUUCAGUAAGGCACGCAAGAAGCCACACUAAGUAAAAACCUUUGAAUUUUAGCGUGUGAGAAAAUAUUGUGAUUCCUGUAUUUACAAUGGAAAAAGCAUUUCAAUUUCAUUAUCCGGUUUCUCACAAGCCUCUUUUGAAAAAGUUGUUAAUGAUUUUUCAGGUGCUGUUCUUUUUUUACAACUAUCCAAUUCAUAUAUGGCAGAAAACACAGACAAGGUUGAAAAGGCAGUGUCUGCUCUUGAACCCCUCUUUAAAAUAAACUGCUGUCUUUUAAGCCAAAACAACUGUUGUGUUUGAUAGAACAAUAUGUCUAUAUGCUGCCAUAGCAGAAUCAUGGCGCAAUAAGCCCCCAAACUAUUUUUAAUAUGUCAGUUUUACCCUGGAAAAUCCGGUUACAGAUGUCGCACAACCGCUUUUAUUUCAGCCCAUUCAGAAAAAGAAGGUAAGUAAUUAGAUAUAUUAUUUGAAAAGUCUGUCAUUUUUAGCUUAGAAUCAUUAAUUGAUGUGUAAUAUUUGGUUAAAAAAAAAAAAAAAAAAGAUUCAAAACUUUAAACAAAUUACAUUACAAUGAAAAAAAUGGUGUCUGUAAAUUAGUCACGGAUAUCUACCUUAUAACUGUCACUUGUAUUUUUUUUGUAACAGUCACAUUUUCUACAAUAUGUUAGAUGGUAAAUGGUGUUAUACUUGUGUUGCGCUUUUCCACCUUUCAAGGCUCUCAGCGCUUUACACCACAUCGCCAUCCACCUACUGGUGACGCAGCACCAGGAGCAAUGUAGGGUUUAGCAUCUUGCUCAAGGAUACUUAGGCAAGUUCAUAAGGGGAGACAAUUGAACCCACAUCCUCUAGGUUGGGGGUAGGGUUGCCACAUUUCAGAAAUAAGGAAUACAGGACGCCCCCCUCGCGCCCAAAGCUGUACAGGCAGAGAAAAAAAGGGACAUCCCCAAAACUCCUAAAAUGCAUAGAAAUGUAUCUAUUCAUUUAUAUUCUAUAUUAGUUCAAUACGGAAUGCAAUAUUUAAUUCCCAAUUUCUGAUUGUUCCUUAUUUUAAGGGAUAGGUGGCAACCCUAGUUGGGGGACAACAACUCUACCACUGAGCCAACCCACCUCCAUGAUAAUCGAUCCAAACAAAGAAAAAAUGGGGUGGGAUGGGGGGGACGUUUAAAAGGGUAACUAUCUGAAAAAGAAAAUCUACCACUCCUUGAUGUCUGAGAUUUCUGCAUUGCGACCCUUGUUAUAUUACCAUGUUUGACCGAUAAAAUCCUGCUGUGGUCAUUUGCAGCUGUGUCUAGACACUCUGUGAUACAUGCUAAAUGGAGAUUUUGGAACGAAACAAGUACACGAUAAUAUCUUGGUAAAAUCAUGGCGUCUUUAUGCUCCAUCAUGCCCUCAGGGUUUUGCUGUUUAAUUUUUUUUUUUUUAAUGCCAUCCUGUUCAACAUUUUUUCUUCCCCAAGAAAAUUGAGAUUUUAAGCUUUUCAAUGAUGUAUCACACAUGCAUAUCGGACAAUUUUGGAAAGUGGGCUAAGUUGGGGGUCUCAGAGCGGAACUUCAAGUCACCUGAGUGUUUUCUGCCAUAUAUAUGUUUUAAAUUGUGUAAAUUGCAUUACAUGUCUUUGAUUGUUCCAUAAAUUCCUAACAUCUUGCUUUUAAGGGUGUUAAGAAAAAUUGAUUCUUAAAUCAUGUUAUUACGUCACGCAAUUCUCGUGUCGAUUCAAAAUCUGUCUGCAUCAAUCUUUAUACAGUAGGAAGAACAAGUAUUUGAUACACAGUCAAUGGGAAGACCCAUUGGCAGUGUAUCAAAUACUUGUUCUCCCCACUAUACGUGUGUUUUUGGUGGAAAGAAUUCAAUGGCUGCACUCUUUACUCCCGCCCAGCAGCAUGCAGCAGCAUUGCCUUGUAUGUAACAACAACAUUAGACUAAUCUGAGUAGAGGGUUUUGUAUGUCGCCCUCUAGUGGUUGGCAGUCAUUACUGGGGUGUUUACACACUUAUUGCAGCCCACCGUUAGUCGAUGUUAACAGUAACAUUAGCUGCUGUAUGCUGAGAGCGGCACACCUCAGCAAUGGUGGACGGGGUACUUCCGGUCGUUUUUCUUAGAUUCAUCCUUUUUAUAAAUCUGAAAUUAGGGUUUAUUUUGGCUUUAACUGCAAAAACGGAGGCGUGGAGUAUUUAGAAUCCUGCUUUAAGCAGGUUUGGACUAAAGCAGGUUUCUAAAUAAGAGAAAAUGUUUUAAUUAAAGGCAUAUGUUGUUCAACCAUGAAACAAAAACGGUUACGCGAAUGCUGGAUGAGCUUUCAGGAAUAAAUUGAUAUAAAUGUACUUUUAUACAUCCGUAGAGAUUGAGGGGAGGUAGGCGCCCCCCUAGUGGGCAAAAAAUAUAAUUUCAUAUAAUUGAGUAUAUAUUUACUUAAUUUUCCUAUAGAUAAAUAUACAAACAGGUAGUCCCCCGGGUACGACGGACCCGAAUUACGCAAUUUCAACUUUACAAUGCAUGAGUCUUUUUUUUUUUUUUUUUUUUUUUGAAAUGUCGAAUUUUGUUAUACAUCAUUUUAUUUUGAUUGAUUUUAUGAUUUUAUGGUCGAAUACUUGGGGCCAGUUUAUGUGGUUGUUUUUGAUGAUGUGCGGACGCUAAGUGAUCCAUGCUAAUCAUUUGUUAUUGCUGUAUCAGCAGCUCCUUGUAAAUGCAAAUUUGAAUUGCUGCUGUUGGAGAUGAGACGGAUUUAAUUUUAGUCUCAUCUGAAAGUGUUGAUGUCGUUAGCAGCUGAAUAAAGUCAGCAAACCACACGGACGUCUGACAUUAUUUCGGAGCUUAGCUCACUGUCUAGCUAGGACUUCGCUCCAUCUUGGAGAGGACAGUACAAUUUAGAGCAGGGGUCAGGAGCAUCUGGCUUGCAGACAAGUAUUUAAUUAUAAAAAAAAGUUUUGUUAUAUCAAUCGGUGCCAAAUAAAAACUGGGAGAGAGAUUAAAAUCUGCGCUUUCGAGUCAUGUUGAGAGCAAAACUAUAUCAAAUAGUUCAUUUUUUACGGUGCAAUAAAGACACUACAUGAUUGAAGAGGCUGGGGUGAAGAUAGAACGGCAAGCUGGCGUCUGAUUGGUGUAAUGGAGUCAUGUGAUCAAUGUCACGAUGUCUAAUUGGUGAAAUCGAUAGAGCUACCCCGGUAUUACACCAGGCAUAUCUCUUAGCAUCGCUGGUAAAAAAAAAAAAUAAUAAUAAUAAUAAUAAUAAUUGAUACAGUAUGUAGAAUAAAGAGGAAAAAUGUAACGGCUGUUGCGUAGCCCAAAGAAACAACCUGGUUUGAGUCUAUGCUUCUUGCCAACAGCGUCCUCUCCUGGCCGUUCCUUCUCUUCGCCUCGAUGUAGUUCUUCCUUGUACUCUUCUUCUUUCGUACUUUAGGAAUGGUUAGCGGAGGGAAAAAAGCUAAAUUAAAUGAGCCGGAGAGUCUUCAAUGCUUAAAAAUGACCCGAGCUCUUUGCUGGAAGACGUCCAGUGACUCGAAUUCGGAUAUGUUGAUCAUAUUUAUUGAAUAUUUUUGUGAUGUGAAGUCGUGAUGGAAUUUCCAAACGCUUGAUCACAUCACGCUAAAGUUUCAGCACUGGAACGUUUCUACUUCCGGUUCACUUGACGCAACCUCUGUGUACCCAUCUGUUCUUUCGUGUUCCCUUCUAUUAACCGAACGACCUCCUUCAAAACGUUUUCAUUGAAUGCGACAAUUACCACUGACUGAAGGGAGGCCAACGCAAUCCCGAACAUCAAAGAGUAGAGACGUGGAAAAUGAGGAGAGGAACUCCAGGUCACGACGAACAACUGAAAAACAAAAGGAAAUGAAGAGUCCUGCAGACUUCACUGUAG
RNA transcript from Corythoichthys intestinalis (scribbled pipefish), 5492 nucleotides. It is a transcript of the gene named gastrula zinc finger protein XlCGF57.1-like, with no coding region annotated. The transcript is spliced from 6 exons. The record is from RefSeq and is a predicted model, not a curated record. NCBI's taxonomy places the organism in Eukaryota, Metazoa, Chordata, Actinopteri, Syngnathiformes, Syngnathidae.